Molecule: ribosomal RNA, 531 nt
Filed under: uncultured bacterium
Lineage: Bacteria
Description: bacterial SSU rRNA
Rfam family: Bacterial small subunit ribosomal RNA
Source: RNAcentral
CAAUAGAUACCCGGGUAGUCCACGCCGUAAACGAUGAGUGCUAAGUGUUAGAGGGUUUCCGCCCUUUAGUGCUGCAGCUAACGCAUUAAGCACUCCGCCUGGGGAGUACGGCCGCAAGGCUGAAACUCAAAGGAAUUGACGGGGGCCCGCACAAGCAGUGGAGCAUGUGGUUUAAUUCGAAGCAACGCGAAGAACCUUACCAGGUCUUGACAUCCUCUGCCAACCCUAGAGAUAGGGCGUUCCCCUUCGGGGGACAGAGUGACAGGUGGUGCAUGGUUGUCGUCAGCUCGUGUCGUGAGAUGUUGGGUUAAGUCCCGCAACGAGCGCAACCCUUGAUCUUAGUUGCCAGCAUUUGGUUGGGCACUCUAAGGUGACUGCCGGUGACAAACCGGAGGAAGGUGGGGAUGACGUCAAAUCAUCAUGCCCCUUAUGACCUGGGCUACACACGUGCUACAAUGGAUGGUACAAAGAGCUGCGAACCCGCGAGGGUAAGCGAAUCUCAUAAAAGCCAUUCUCAGUUCGGAUUGUAGG